CUGGCUCAGGACGAACGCUGGCGGCGUGCCUAAUACAUGCAAGUCGAACGCGUCUCCGUUAAUGAUUUUAGGUGCUUGCACUUGAAAGAUUUAACAUUGAGACGAGUGGCGAACUGGUGAGUAACACGUGGGUAACCUGCCCUUGAAGUAGGGGAUAACACUUGGAAACAGGUGCUAAUACCGUAUAACAACCAAAACCACCUGGUUUUGGUUUAAAAGACGGCUUCGGCUGUCACUUUAGGAUGGACCCGCGGCGUAUUAGCUUGUUGGUAAGGUAACGGCUUACCAAGGCGAUGAUACGUAGCCGACCUGAGAGGGUAAUCGGCCACAUUGGGACUGAGACACGGCCCAAACUCCUACGGGAGGCAGCAGUAGGGAAUCUUCCACAAUGGACGAAAGUCUGAUGGAGCAACGCCGCGUGAGUGAUGAAGGGUUUCGGCUCGUAAAACUCUGUUGUUGGAGAAGAACAGGUGUCAGAGUAACUGUUGACAUCUUGACGGUAUCCAACCAGAAAGCCACGGCUAACUACGUGCCAGCAGCCGCGGUAAUACGUAGGUGGCAAGCGUUGUCCGGAUUUAUUGGGCGUAAAGCGAGCGCAGGCGGUUUUUUAGGUCUGAUGUGAAAGCCUUCGGCUUAACCGGAGAAGUGCAUCGGAAACCGGGAGACUUGAGUGCAGAAGAGGACAGUGGAACUCCAUGUGUAGCGGUGAAAUGCGUAGAUAUAUGGAAGAACACCAGUGGCGAAGGCGGCUGUCUGGUCUGUAACUGACGCUGAGGCUCGAAAGCAUGGGUA
This 792-nucleotide ribosomal RNA is filed under the name Lentilactobacillus buchneri. RNAcentral describes it as "bacterial SSU rRNA". It matches the Rfam family "Bacterial small subunit ribosomal RNA", at positions 19 to 767 of the family's 1533-position model. The record is from RNAcentral. Lineage: Bacteria; Bacillati; Bacillota; Bacilli; Lactobacillales; Lactobacillaceae.